Oryctolagus cuniculus (rabbit) is the source of this 743-nucleotide long non-coding RNA. RefSeq lists it as uncharacterized. NCBI's taxonomy places the organism in Eukaryota, Metazoa, Chordata, Mammalia, Lagomorpha, Leporidae. The record is from RefSeq and is a predicted model, not a curated record.
GUGUCCGUUACCGCGCGCUUGUGCGCGCGCGCUCGCUGAGCUCGCCGAGUGUCCGCGCUCCCCCUGGUGGCGGUAGAGGUGAUCGCGCCGCCUCAGUCCCUUGCAACAGUGCGUGUCCGGAGCAGCAGGUUCUUUACUUUCAGUCCUGCCAGAUGGACCAGACUGUAGGAGCCUCCAGAUGUACAAGUAACUUCUCAAUGGAAUGUGGUCUGUAAGCACAGAGCUGACAAGAGGACAAGUCACAGAGAAGGUUGGCCACAGGAUGGUGAACUCAUUACUGGCAAUGGCUCAAGCAGCUUCAGUGCCAGCAUCAAUGCUGAGAAUCUGAACACAUGGCUGAAUGUCUGAAGACAGAGAGAGAGCCAAGACGGCAGUGGUGCUAUGGGGAUGCCAAUUGGCUGGAUAGCUUGUAAUGCUGUUACCCAGAGAUGGCACUGACAAGCCACUGGCCAGAGACAGCAAAGUGAAGCCACUGCUGAGAGAUGGCAGAAGGCCUUAAGUACAGCCACAAGGGGUAUAAGGCAAGCAGAGGGCAAAUUAUUAGUCCUCUGCAUGCUAAGUCUGCAGUAUGAUGGCAAACCAUUUUCUUAUGGUAUCUCCAACAGCUUCAGUAGCAGGGUAAAACCUGUGGGCCUGUGCACAUGAGUCAACAUUUGAAAUGGAACACAGAACCCAGAAGGGCAGUGUUGUGCCAUGUGGAUAACACUGCCUGGAUACAGUAUGGGAUGCUGCUACCCAGAGAG